This 484-nucleotide ribosomal RNA is filed under the name uncultured bacterium. Its description in RNAcentral is "partial 16S ribosomal RNA". It matches the Rfam family "Bacterial small subunit ribosomal RNA", at positions 29 to 507 of the family's 1533-position model. The record is from RNAcentral.
AAUGAACGCUGGCGGCAGGCCUAACACAUGCAAGUCGAGCGGAUGAAGGGAGCUUGCUCCUGGAUUCAGCGGCGGACGGGUGGGUAAUGCCUAGGAAUCUGCCUGGUAGUGGGGGAUAACGUCCGGAAACGGGCGCUAAUACCGCAUACGUCCUGAGGGAGAAAGUGGGGGAUCUUCGGACCUCACGCUAUCAGAUGAGCCUAGGUCGGAUUAGCUAGUUGGUGGGGUAAAGGCCUACCAAGGCGACGAUCCGUAACUGGUCUGAGAGGAUGAUCAGUCACACUGGAACUGAGACACGGUCCAGACUCCUACGGGAGGCAGCAGUGGGGAAUAUUGGACAAUGGGCGAAAGCCUGAUCCAGCCAUGCCGCGUGUGUGAAGAAGGUCUUCGGAUUGUAAAGCACUUUAAGUUGGGAGGAAGGGCAGUAAGUUAAUACCUUGCUGUUUUGACGUUACCAACAGAAUAAGCACCGGCUAACUUCGUG